GGAGGUGUCAGGGCACCUGGUGGGCUCCACCGCCUUCAAAGCGGCUGUCGCAGGCGACCCCUGCGAGGCGGGUUCGAUUCCCGUCCACCUCCGC
Molecule: transfer RNA, 94 nt
Filed under: compost metagenome
Description: tRNA-Sec
Rfam family: Selenocysteine transfer RNA
Source: RNAcentral